This 636-nucleotide long non-coding RNA is filed under the name Coturnix japonica (Japanese quail). RNAcentral's name for it is "lncRNA (ENSCJPG00005009440.1)". Lineage: Eukaryota; Metazoa; Chordata; Aves; Galliformes; Phasianidae. The record is from RNAcentral.
AAAAAUUUAGGUUUCCUUAGGCUACAUUAUUCUCAUCUCACUGCUCCCACUUUGCAUCAAUAUCUCAUUCCUUCCUCAAAUCUGAUAAGUCAGGAGAAGUUGGAACUCAUUUUGGAAAAUGCAGCACCAGAAACCACUAUUUUUUUGCAUGUUAUACUUCAGUAAAUGAAAAAAUUCAUGGACAACUGCCAAAAGCCUGGAGGAACACAGAUUUGAAUCCUGCAAACACUUAGACCCUUCACCCUGUGUGGAACAGCGACAACUGCAUAACAAUUCAUCAUCGUCUGUUUCUCUCUGGAGUAAUUGCUUAUCUCUGAUUUCCACUGAGAAAGCAAGCAAGCAGUACAGAUGGCCCAGGGCCAGGCCCAGGAGCGGGGCUGAGGUAUAGAUGGCCCCAUGGGCAUCCACUGAAGAUUUAUAUACCUAUGGUUCUCCUUCAUCACAGACAGACAGCUAUUAUCUGUUGUUGACAAGUACUUGAUUCAACAGUCUCCUGCAAGGCAAAUUCUGUACCAGGAGCAAAAGAAUAAUCCUCCAGACAUGCUGCUUCACAGGAUUAUUUGUGGUGUUUGCAACCAAGAAAAGAGGACAUACCAACCUAUAUCCUGGAAAGUUCUACCUUCUGAUAUACACAUA